Non-coding RNA from Paramuricea clavata, 74 nucleotides. The record is from the annotation of a GenBank genome assembly. NCBI's taxonomy places the organism in Eukaryota, Metazoa, Cnidaria, Anthozoa, Malacalcyonacea, Plexauridae.
UUUAUCCAUGUAAAACCCAGUUUUUGCGGGUUUUAUAUAAAACCCGCAGAAACCGGGUUUUAUAUGGAUAAAAC